UACCUUUUUGACCCGGUUCACCAAUUUCACCCUGUAAUUGAAAGUUAGAAGUUAAAGUUCUUGUUUAGAAUGGUCUCCUUCACACUUAGCUGACUCCAAUAUCACAGUACCUUUAAAUGUUCCGUUUGAUAUGAUUAUUCUGUGUUUUAUGUUGCAAUUUCAACCAUGAAGGCCUAAAGGAGGCAAUUCUGCAUCAAUCAAUAGUGUGUCAUUUUAAUCUGGCUAUUGACUGUUCUACUGCAAAGGCCCCAAAGACCUGGCUUUGAAGUAAGAGUGGUACUCAGGUCUAAACAAAGGAGAUUGUGUUCCUCUUGUCACCCUUGGAGAACCACUUGGACCAGCAGGACCAGGAAGUCCUACAGGACCUUGUACUCCAUCACGUCCAGCUGGACCUUGAGGACCUUUUUCACCCUGGUUUUGAAGAAAAGGAAGUGAUGCACAUUAUCAAAGGAGUUUAAUUAAGCUUUCAGUGCAGGAGCACCCUUCUCCCCUGCAGGGCCUGGAGGACCCUGAGGUCCAGGACGACCUGGUAGACCAAUUGGACCAGCAGUGCCUGCUGCUCCACGUUCUCCUGCACCUGGGAGGCCUUGUUCACCUGGUGGGCCAGGAGGACCUGGAUGACCUCUUUCACCAAUUGGGCCAGUCUCACCAGUAGGACCCUAAGCACAAAGAAAUCUCACUUCACAUUCUUGACUUCUGCUUCAUGAUGACAUCAAGAAUACACACACAAAAAUAGAAGUACAAAAAUAAUCUCAACAUUCAUGUUUCAUGGAACUAUUGUUUUGGUCACACUAUUCUGACUUCAAGAGGUUUACAACAGCAUCACAGUAAAGCUCAUGUACUUACAGUCUCACCCCGCUGUCCUGGAUGUCCAGGCAAGCCAUCUUUACCAGGACCAGCAGCACCUGGGUCCCCAGAUGGACCUGCUCGACCUUUUGGACCUUCUGGACCAUCUUCUCCUCUUGGGCCAGGUUGACCAACUUCUCCCUGAAAUACAACGUUAUAUAAAUGAGCAGCAAUUGACUGUGUGCAUACAUUAGCAAGGCUACCAACAAAUACUUGAAAAUAAUUUUUCAGUAAACAUAAAUGGAGAUUAAGAAAAUGCCACCACUCAUGUUCUUAUAUAAAUACAAAAACAUGUAAACUGAACUGUACUUGUGCAAGGGUUAGAGGCCACUGUCCUUGUCUGAAGAGAGCUGUGUUUUGAAACUGCUUUCCAAUUUCAUAGGAAUUUUAAUGAAUUCCAGUAAUUACUACACAUAUUCUUGUGAAAGCACUCUCAUGGUCCGUAUUAGAAUAAUUUUUGUAUCCAAGAAGUUAAAUAGAUACCAUUAUCACAGUUACUUAAGUAUACAGAUAACAGAUACAGGCCAGUAGCCUUUUGUAAUAAGUUUUUUUUAAAUUGUCUCUGCAACAUUUCCUCUGACAGAAGCAUCUAUUGUGAUAAAGUACAUUUUGGUAGAGAUAAUAUAAGCUACUAUUAGGUUGAAAUGGAAAUAUCCUUGUUCAGAAUAAAUUAUCUUCUUCAGGCAGUAUUGCAUCUUGGUAUCUUGAAAAGGAGACUCCCUAGGAAGUUCAAUGAAAAGGAUAUCAAAGAUUGACACUCGCUUCUUCUUUCUAACUGUGCCAUUGCUGAUUCAUGAGAUCUAGACU
Long non-coding RNA from Tympanuchus pallidicinctus (lesser prairie-chicken), 1653 nucleotides. RefSeq lists it as uncharacterized. The record is from RefSeq and is a predicted model, not a curated record. The transcript is spliced from 7 exons. NCBI's taxonomy places the organism in Eukaryota, Metazoa, Chordata, Aves, Galliformes, Phasianidae.